GAGGCCAUAGCUCAGUGGAUUAGAGCAUAAGAUUGCAAUUUCCUUGUUGAACAAAUCUUGGGGUCCCGUGUUCGAUCCACGGUGGUCUCU
This is a non-coding RNA of Diaporthe citri, 90 nucleotides long. The record is from the annotation of a RefSeq genome assembly. Lineage: Eukaryota; Fungi; Ascomycota; Sordariomycetes; Diaporthales; Diaporthaceae.